GACCUAGCGGCGGACGGGUGAGUAAUGCUUAGGAAUCUGCCUAUAAGUGGGGGACAACAUUCCGAAAGGAAUGCUAAUACCGCAUACGCCCUACGGGGGAAAGCAGGGGAUCUUCGGACCUUGCGCUAAUAGAUGAGCCUAAGUCAGAUUAGCUAGUUGGUGGGGUAAAGGCCUACCAAGGCGACGAUCUGUAGCGGGUCUGAGAGGAUGAUCCGCCACACUGGGACUGAGACACGGCCCAGACUCCUACGGGAGGCAGCAGUGGGGAAUAUUGGACAAUGGGCGAAAGCCUGAUCCAGCCAUGCCGCGUGUGUGAAGAAGGCCUUUUGGUUGUAAAGCACUUUAAGCGAGGAGGAGGCUACUUGGAUUAAUACUCUAGGAUAGUGGACGUUACUCGCAGAAUAAGCACCGGCUAACUCUGUGCCAGCAGCCGCGGUAAUACAGAGGGUGCGAGCGUUAAUCGGAUUUACUGGGCGUAAAGCGUGCGUAGGCGGCUUUUUAAGUCGGAUGUGAAAUCCCUGAGCUUAACUUAGGAAUUGCAUUCGAUACUGGGAAGCUAGAGUAUGGGAGAGGAUGGUAGAAUUCCAGGUGUAGCGGUGAAAUGCGUAGAGAUCUGGAGGAAUACCGAUGGCGAAGGCAGCCAUCUGGCCUAAUACUGACGCUGAGGUACGAAAGCAUGGGGAGCAAACAGGAUUAGAUACCCUGGUAGUCCAUGCCGUAAACGAUGUCUACUAGCCGUUGGGGCCUUUGAGGCUUUAGUGGCGCAGCUAACGCGAUAAGUAGACCGCCUGGGGAGUACGGUCGCAAGACUAAAACUCAAAUGAAUUGACGGGGGCCCGCACAAGCGGUGGAGCAUGUGGUUUAAUUCGAUGC
This 873-nucleotide ribosomal RNA is filed under the name Acinetobacter sp. JC175. RNAcentral describes it as "bacterial SSU rRNA". It matches the Rfam family "Bacterial small subunit ribosomal RNA", at positions 89 to 957 of the family's 1533-position model. Lineage: Bacteria; Pseudomonadati; Pseudomonadota; Gammaproteobacteria; Moraxellales; Moraxellaceae. The record is from RNAcentral.